GAUUAGAUCUCAAAUCAGGUAGGACUACCCGCUGAACUUAAG
Molecule: ribosomal RNA, 42 nt
Filed under: Rhodotorula mucilaginosa
Lineage: Eukaryota; Fungi; Basidiomycota; Microbotryomycetes; Sporidiobolales; Sporidiobolaceae
Description: partial 28S ribosomal RNA
Source: RNAcentral